ACGCUCGACACCUACGGGGGGCAGCAGUGGGGAAUAUUGCACAAUGGGGGAAACCCUGAUGCAGCGACGCCGCGUGGAGGAAGAAGGUCUUCGGAUUGUAAACUCCUGUUGUUGGGGAAAAAGAGGAUGGUACCCAACAAGGAAGUGACGGCUAACUACGUGCCAGCAGCAGCGGUAAUCUGAGCGGGCUGGCAAGGC
Molecule: ribosomal RNA, 198 nt
Filed under: uncultured bacterium
Lineage: Bacteria
Description: partial 16S ribosomal RNA
Rfam family: Bacterial small subunit ribosomal RNA
Source: RNAcentral